Molecule: unclassified non-coding RNA, 211 nt
Filed under: Hevea brasiliensis (rubber tree)
Lineage: Eukaryota; Viridiplantae; Streptophyta; Magnoliopsida; Malpighiales; Euphorbiaceae
Source: RNAcentral
GGCGGCUUUAGAUCUCAACAGCAGGUAUCAAAUUUUCUUGCGAAAGAGAAAGCAAUUUCCUCGGAAUUUUCCUGUAUUUUUAUCUGUUGACAAACUGCAUGAAUUCUCGAGAGCUUGUUCUUCUCUCUACAGCAACGGUUUUCGGUGCACUGGCAUCUGCUCUUGCGGCUCGCUUCUUUUUCUUCAACCAGAAAAAGCACUUUCCCCGAAU